RNAcentral lists this ribosomal RNA (2901 nucleotides) under Escherichia coli. RNAcentral's name for it is "bacterial LSU rRNA". It matches the Rfam family "Bacterial large subunit ribosomal RNA". The record is from RNAcentral. Lineage: Bacteria; Pseudomonadati; Pseudomonadota; Gammaproteobacteria; Enterobacterales; Enterobacteriaceae.
UUAAGCGACUAAGCGUACACGGUGGAUGCCCUGGCAGUCAGAGGCGAUGAAGGACGUGCUAAUCUGCGAUAAGCGUCGGUAAGGUGAUAUGAACCGUUAUAACCGGCGAUUUCCGAAUGGGGAAACCCAGUGUGUUUCGACACACUAUCAUUAACUGAAUCCAUAGGUUAAUGAGGCGAACCGGGGGAACUGAAACAUCUAAGUACCCCGAGGAAAAGAAAUCAACCGAGAUUCCCCCAGUAGCGGCGAGCGAACGGGGAGNAGCCCAGAGCCUGAAUCAGUGUGUGUGUUAGUGGAAGCGUCUGGAAAGGCGCGCGAUACAGGGUGACAGCCCCGUACACAAAAAUGCACAUGCUGUGAGCUCGAUGAGUAGGGCGGGACACGUGGUAUCCUGUCUGAAUAUGGGGGGACCAUCCUCCAAGGCUAAAUACUCCUGACUGACCGAUAGUGAACCAGUACCGUGAGGGAAAGGCGAAAAGAACCCCGGCGAGGGGAGUGAAAAAGAACCUGAAACCGUGUACGUACAAGCAGUGGGAGCACGCUUCGGCGUGUGACUGCGUACCUUUUGUAUAAUGGGUCAGCGACUUAUAUUCUGUAGCAAGGUUAACCGAAUAGGGGAGCCGAAGGGAAACCGAGUCUUAACUGGGCGUUAAGUUGCAGGGUAUAGACCCGAAACCCGGUGAUCUAGCCAUGGGCAGGUUGAAGGUUGGGUAACACUAACUGGAGGACCGAACCGACUAAUGUUGAAAAAUUAGCGGAUGACUUGUGGCUGGGGGUGAAAGGCCAAUCAAACCGGGAGAUAGCUGGUUCUCCCCGAAAGCUAUUUAGGUAGCGCCUCGUGAAUUCAUCUCCGGGGGUAGAGCACUGUUUCGGCAAGGGGGUCAUCCCGACUUACCAACCCGAUGCAAACUGCGAAUACCGGAGAAUGUUAUCACGGGAGACACACGGCGGGUGCUAACGUCCGUCGUGAAGAGGGAAACAACCCAGACCGCCAGCUAAGGUCCCAAAGUCAUGGUUAAGUGGGAAACGAUGUGGGAAGGCCCAGACAGCCAGGAUGUUGGCUUAGAAGCAGCCAUCAUUUAAAGAAAGCGUAAUAGCUCACUGGUCGAGUCGGCCUGCGCGGAAGAUGUAACGGGGCUAAACCAUGCACCGAAGCUGCGGCAGCGACACUGUGUGUUGUUGGGUAGGGGAGCGUUCUGUAAGCCUGUGAAGGUGUACUGUGAGGUAUGCUGGAGGUAUCAGAAGUGCGAAUGCUGACAUAAGUAACGAUAAAGCGGGUGAAAAGCCCGCUCGCCGGAAGACCAAGGGUUCCUGUCCAACGUUAAUCGGGGCAGGGUGAGUCGACCCCUAAGGCGAGGCCGAAAGGCGUAGUCGAUGGGAAACAGGUUAAUAUUCCUGUACUUGGUGUUACUGCGAAGGGGGGACGGAGAAGGCUAUGUUGGCCGGGCGACGGUUGUCCCGGUUUAAGCGUGUAGGCUGGUUUUCCAGGCAAAUCCGGAAAAUCAAGGCUGAGGCGUGAUGACGAGGCACUACGGUGCUGAAGCAACAAAUGCCCUGCUUCCAGGAAAAGCCUCUAAGCAUCAGGUAACAUCAAAUCGUACCCCAAACCGACACAGGUGGUCAGGUAGAGAAUACCAAGGCGCUUGAGAGAACUCGGGUGAAGGAACUAGGCAAAAUGGUGCCGUAACUUCGGGAGAAGGCACGCUGAUAUGUAGGUGAAGCGACUUGCUCGUGGAGCUGAAAUCAGUCGAAGAUACCAGCUGGCUGCAACUGUUUAUUAAAAACACAGCACUGUGCAAACACGAAAGUGGACGUAUACGGUGUGACGCCUGCCCGGUGCCGGAAGGUUAAUUGAUGGGGUUAGCGCAAGCGAAGCUCUUGAUCGAAGCCCCGGUAAACGGCGGCCGUAACUAUAACGGUCCUAAGGUAGCGAAAUUCCUUGUCGGGUAAGUUCCGACCUGCACGAAUGGCGUAAUGAUGGCCAGGCUGUCUCCACCCGAGACUCAGUGAAAUUGAACUCGCUGUGAAGAUGCAGUGUACCCGCGGCAAGACGGAAAGACCCCGUGAACCUUUACUAUAGCUUGACACUGAACAUUGAGCCUUGAUGUGUAGGAUAGGUGGGAGGCUUUGAAGUGUGGACGCCAGUCUGCAUGGAGCCGACCUUGAAAUACCACCCUUUAAUGUUUGAUGUUCUAACGUGGACCCGUGAUCCGGGUUGCGGACAGUGUCUGGUGGGUAGUUUGACUGGGGCGGUCUCCUCCUAAAGAGUAACGGAGGAGCACGAAGGUUGGCUAAUCCUGGUCGGACAUCAGGAGGUUAGUGCAAUGGCAUAAGCCAGCUUGACUGCGAGCGUGACGGCGCGAGCAGGUGCGAAAGCAGGUCAUAGUGAUCCGGUGGUUCUGAAUGGAAGGGCCAUCGCUCAACGGAUAAAAGGUACUCCGGGGAUAACAGGCUGAUACCGCCCAAGAGUUCAUAUCGACGGCGGUGUUUGGCACCUCGAUGUCGGCUCAUCACAUCCUGGGGCUGAAGUAGGUCCCAAGGGUAUGGCUGUUCGCCAUUUAAAGUGGUACGCGAGCUGGGUUUAGAACGUCGUGAGACAGUUCGGUCCCUAUCUGCCGUGGGCGCUGGAGAACUGAGGGGGGCUGCUCCUAGUACGAGAGGACCGGAGUGGACGCAUCACUGGUGUUCGGGUUGUCAUGCCAAUGGCACUGCCCGGUAGCUAAAUGCGGAAGAGAUAAGUGCUGAAAGCAUCUAAGCACGAAACUUGCCCCGAGAUGAGUUCUCCCUGACCCUUUAAGGGUCCUGAAGGAACGUUGAAGACGACGACGUUGAUAGGCCGGGUGUGUAAGCGCAGCGAUGCGUUGAGCUAACCGGUACUAAUGAACCGUGAGGCUUAACCUU